UGAAAAAGUACGUGAAAUUGUUGAAAGGGAAGGGCUUGAGAUCAGACUUGGUAUUUUGUAUGUUACUUCUUCGGGGGUGGCCUCUACAGUUUAUCGGGCCAGCAUCAGUUUGGGCGGUAGGAGAAUUGCGUUGGAAUGUGGCACGGCUUCGGUUGUGUGUUAUAGCCUUCGUCGAUACUGCCAGCCUAGACUGAGGACUGCGGUUUAUACCUAGGAUGUUGGCAUAAUGAUCUUAAGUCGCCCGUCUUGAAACACGGACCAA
Molecule: ribosomal RNA, 262 nt
Filed under: Candida albicans
Lineage: Eukaryota; Fungi; Ascomycota; Pichiomycetes; Serinales; Debaryomycetaceae
Also listed under: 1 other name
Description: partial 16S ribosomal RNA
Rfam family: Eukaryotic large subunit ribosomal RNA
Source: RNAcentral